This 871-nucleotide long non-coding RNA is filed under the name Setaria italica (foxtail millet). RNAcentral describes it as "long non-coding RNA (SITA_LNC002715)". Lineage: Eukaryota; Viridiplantae; Streptophyta; Magnoliopsida; Poales; Poaceae. The record is from RNAcentral.
GGUCCAUCAAUGCAAAAAUCCCAGGUUACUGCACUGGGUUGGUACUAGGUAGACGUCGGCCACAAUUAGUGCUGCAACGGUUAAUUUUUGAAAUGGGCUAUUGUUUACUGCUAGACCAACUACUCUCUGCAUUUGCGUUUCUAUUCCGGGUAUUCCGUUGGAACAGAGUGCUAUAUAGUCAUGUUUGUUUAUCUUAUUUGAUUUGUCUCUGUCUUGCACGUGCAUAUGUUGAGAGGAGCUUCUUGGAGUUGCAACAUUAGCACUUGUGUUUUUCUACAGGGCCUGUUUGGCUCCACCCUAUUAAAGUUUAACACCCGUCACAUCGGAUGUUUGGAUGCUAAUUAGAAGUAUUAAAUAUAGACUAAUUACAAAACUAAUUGUACAGUUGGAGUGUAAUUGGCGAGACGAAUCUAUUAAGCCUAAUUAGUCCAUGAUUUGACAAUGUGGUGCUACAGUAACCAUUUGCUAAUUGUGGAUUAAUUAGGCUUAAUAGAUUCGUCUCGCGAAUUAGCACAGGGUUCUGCAAUUAAUUUUAUAAUUAGCUCAUGUUUAAUUCUUCUAAUUAGCAUCCGAACAUCCGAUGUGACACUGUUAAAGUUUAGCACCUCGUAUCCAAACACCCCCUCAAUGCGAGUCUUUCUGCUUGUGAAGGAUUUAUUUGGGGCAACUUCAGAUUGGAUCUUUCGCUGUGAUACAAAACAUUGGCCAGCGAGACAGAAGGAAUUUCUUUGAUUUGACUUGAUUUUCAGCUAUCUGUAUGCAAUCUUUGGGCUCUUUCUGAAAUCUGAACUACUCACAUACAUGUGGAUACAAGUUAAAUGAUUAGUGCUUCCCCACCUAUGUCGAUAUGUCGUCCUUCUGUUCAUGUUUU